GUAGUCAACCUAACUUGAAGACGUGAACAAUCCCGGGAAACUGGGGCUAAUUCACGAUAGAUUCAGGGUUCUGGAAUGGCCUUGAGUCCAAAAGGCUGGAGGAGCAUGCUUCUUCAGUCGCUUCAAGAUGGGACUGCGGCCGAUCAGGUUGUUGGCGGGGUAAUGGCCCACCAAGCCUAUAACCGGUGCGGGCUCUGAGAGGAGGAGCCCGGAGAUGGACACUGAGACAAGGGUCCAGGCCCUACGGGGCGCAGCAGGCGCGAAACCUUCACAAUGCGCGAAAGCGCGAUGAGGCUAUACCGAGUGUCACCCGCUGAGGGUGACUUUUCCUUGAUGCAAAAAAUCAGGGGAAUAAGGGGAGGGCAAGCCUGGUGUCAGCCGCCGCGGUAAUACCAGCUCCCCGAGUGGUCGGGACGAUUAUUGGGCCUAAAGCAUCCGUAGCCGGCUUCACAGGUCUCUUGUUAAAUCCAACGGCUCAACCGUUGGACUGCAGGAGAUACCAUGGAGCUAGGGGGCGGGAGAGGCGGACGGUACUCCAUGGGUAGGGGUAAAAUCCUUUGAUCCAUGGAAGACCACCAGUGGCGAAGGCGGUCCGCUAGAACGCGCCCGACGGUGAGGGAUGAAAGCUGGGGGAGUGAACCGGAUUAGAUACCCGGGUAGUCCCAGCUGUAAACGAUGCAGGCUAGGUGAUAGGAAGGCUAUACGCCUCCCUAGUGCCGCAGGGAAGCCGAUAAGCCUGCCGCCUGGGGAGUACGGCCGCAAGGCUGAAACUUAAAGGAAUUGGCAGGGGAGCACCACAAGGGGUGAAGCCUGCGGUUCAAAUGGAGUCAACGCCG
Molecule: ribosomal RNA, 836 nt
Filed under: uncultured archaeon
Lineage: Archaea
Description: bacterial SSU rRNA
Rfam family: Archaeal small subunit ribosomal RNA
Source: RNAcentral